Long non-coding RNA from Pipra filicauda (Wire-tailed manakin), 1298 nucleotides. RefSeq lists it as uncharacterized. The record is from RefSeq and is a predicted model, not a curated record. The transcript is spliced from 3 exons. NCBI's taxonomy places the organism in Eukaryota, Metazoa, Chordata, Aves, Passeriformes, Pipridae.
CUCCAUUCUCCCCUCACACCCCGUUCCCCCUCAGCCGCUGCUCUCCCCUCACACCAGUGGUGCUGCUGUGCCCAUCAGAGGGGAGAUCCCGGGCUGCAGUGGUGCCCUUGGUUAUGUUUUUGGCCGAUCUACGCUUAUAGAUGAUAUUGGUGAUCCUCCAGGCUCAAAGGCUGCAGUCGUGCCAUCAAGCUCUUGUAUUAGAGACCAGUGACUCAUUUUGUCCUGUCCUUGUCCCAAAAGAAAUGCUGGGCCUUUCCAAGGCCACGGGGUCCUGCGUUUGCCCAAAGAGAACAUUCCUGAGAGAUCUGGCUCUAGAAUUAUCUCAGUUUUACCCCAUUUUCUCUGUCUGCACCUUUCAGGUGUGCAAAUACCCUCAUCCUUGGACCUGCUCCAGUGGCAGCUCCCUGGGAGGCUCCGCUCUGCAGCUGGAGGGGUCGAGGUGAUUCUCUGGCAUUUUGCUGGUUUACCUGGUGCAGAUUUACCUGGUCUGUGACGCUGGAUAAAGUCAGGAUCUAAUUCUUUUUCAGCCCAAAGGUACAUCCCACUGCUCCUUGGGGGGCUGGAGGAGGCUGGAUUGACACCUGGAGGAAGCAGCUGAACUGGUGACAAGACACUGGAAAAUGCCCUUGGAGGAGGCAAAGGAAUGGCCCAGGCAGCUAAAAGACCACGUGCAGGGAUCAGUUUUUUUCGCUCCCUUACAACUCCAAGGAAGUGGUUUCCUCAGUCGAAUGGUCCUCAACAGUGCUGUGAGGGUGGCUGAAGAGCUUGUGAGGAUCACAAGACCUGCUUGUGAGGGUGAUUUCUUGAGGGCUCCUCCCAACGUGAAAGACCUGACAGUCUUAAAAAGCCGUGCAGAGGCCUCAUGGAGAUUUGUGAGCACAACAAACCCUGUCAGUCACAGGCAGGAGCAGCUGGUGUGUGCGUGGGAGUUGACAGGAGAUGUGGCUCUCCCAGCACACUGGACUCUGAUAACCUGGGAGAUCCGGUGUCACUGUGCGUGUCACAGUGUCACUGUGUGUCCUUGGGUCAUGCGCAGACAGCAGUGGAGUUGUGAUGGUGAGGAGACCUGGAGUGUCUGGGGGUGGUGAGGGGAAAACAACCCAGACAUGGCUGAUGCCCCAAAGGACUCCACUUGUGCUUCUCCACCUUAGUUGUGUUUAACCAUUUCAUAGGCUGCUUCUGCCCCUAAAUUGGAGACCAUUGCUGGUCUAAAUAAUCACAAAUUAUGUGCCUCAGGAGGUUUAUGUUGGACAUUAGGAAGAAUUUAUUCACAGGAAGGGUGAUUAGAUGUUGGAACA